UACGUAGGGUGCGAGCGUUUGUCCGGAAUUAUUGGGCGUAAAGAGCUCGUAGGCGGUGUGUCACGUCGGCCGUGAAAACCUGCAGCUUAACUGUGGGCGUGCGGUCGAUACGGGCAUCACUGGAGUUCGGCAGGGGAGACUGGAAUUCCUGGUGUAGCGGUGAAAUGCGCAGAUAGUCGAGGAGGAACACCGGUGGCGAAGGCGGGUCUCCUGGGCCGAUACUGACGCUGAGGAGCGAAAGCAUGGGGAGCGAACAGG
RNAcentral lists this ribosomal RNA (258 nucleotides) under uncultured bacterium. Its description in RNAcentral is "partial 16S ribosomal RNA". It matches the Rfam family "Bacterial small subunit ribosomal RNA", at positions 524 to 776 of the family's 1533-position model. The record is from RNAcentral.